Molecule: long non-coding RNA, 3412 nt
Organism: Juglans regia (Persian walnut)
Lineage: Eukaryota; Viridiplantae; Streptophyta; Magnoliopsida; Fagales; Juglandaceae
Exons: 2
Source: RefSeq, a predicted model, not a curated record
UUUUAAUAAAUUGAGGUUUAUUUUUCUCCAAUCUUCUGUUAGGAUUUCUUCUCUUUUCCUCUAGGGUUUGAACUUUACAUGAUAUUAGACGUUUUUUCCUUCCAUGGCGCUGUCUCACAAAUCCAUCUUUGAGGAUGCUACAUCUCCUUUAUUUCUUCAUGUUAGUAACAGCCUUGGUGUUCUCCUUGUCACUCAGCCCCUUGUUGGCGACAACUACCAUGCUUGGUCUCGAUCAAUGUUCAUGGAGCUUUCGGCUAAGAACAAACUCGGUUUUGUCAAUGGAUCUCUCACCAUGCCUUCGGAAUCAACAUAUCCUCUUCUUUCUUCAUGGCUCCGAUGCAAUAAUAUGGUGAUAUCUUGGCUCUUAAACUUUGCUUCUCGUUAUAUCUCUGCUAGUAUUUUAUACAUUACUAAUGCGCAUGAGAUCUAGUUAGAUCUUAAGAACGUUUUUCACAAAAGAACGGUCCUAGCAUUUUUCAAUUGUAGAAAUCGAUUUAUGCUCUCUCUCAAGGCUAGGUUUCCGUGAGUAAUUAUUUUACUCACCUAAAAGCUCUUUGGGAUGAAUUAGCUAAUUACAAGCAUGUUCCUGCUUGUUCUUGUGGAGCUAUACGUACGUUGAACUCCUAUGUUUAACAAAAGCAUGUUUUACAGUUUCUAAUGGGAUUGAAUGAAUCUUUUGCACCUACUUAUACUCAGAUCUUGCUUAUGGAGCCUUUGUCUCCUUUUAAUAAGGUGUUUUCUCUUAUUUUACAAGAGGAACAACAACGAGAAAUUUCUAUUGUUUCUUUGCCUUCUGUUGAUUCACAUGUGUUUGUUUCCAAAACUGAUGGAACCAGAUUUGUUAAAUCCUUUUCUAAGAAGGAUAGACCAGUGUGUAAACAUUGUGGAAUCACUGGUCACGUGAUUGACAAAUGUUACAAAUUGCAAGGUUUUCCACUAGGCUAUAAACCAAAGACAAAGAAACAGUCUGUGGCCAAUCACGUUGUCCUUAGUGAUAGUAAUUCCUCGGCUGCUUCUCCCUUUUCCUUUAACCAAGGCUCAGUAUCAACAGUUUCUAUCCAUGCUUCAUCCUCCAAACAGUACUGAUGAGGUUUCUCCUGCUGUAAAUGUAGUCACUACAACUUCUCCUUUUUUCUGGUAUAACUUUUCCUCACAACGAUAAUCAAUAUUUUGUUUUCUCUUCCAUUCAAUAUCAUUUGAUUCAAAUGUUUGGAUUCUUUAUAUAGGAGCCAUAGAUCAUAUGGUUCAUUCUAUUAAUUGUUUUUCUUCUAUUACCAAAUCUGUUAAUGCCUCUGUUAAGCUUCCUAAUGGUCAAUCUGUGUCUGUUACACAUAUUGGCUUUGUUCAUAUUUAUGAACACCUUGUUUUACAUGGUGUUCUAUGUGUACCUUCUUUCAAAUUCAAAUUAAUUUCUAUCAGCAAAUAGACUCAGUCACUGACUUGUUGUUUUUUGUUUUCAUCUGACCUAUGCUUCAUUCAGGACUUGACUCGUUGGAGGCUGAUUGGAGUGGGUAGAUUGCAAGGACUUUAUAUACUGCAACAAUCAUGUUCUUCUUUUUCUAAACCUACUUCAUAUACUCCUUGCUUACUUGAUAACAUGUCUUUACAUGCUUGUUCUGUAUCAUCCAAAAGGUCUAAGUAUGAACUUUGGCAUAAUAGACUUGGUCAUCCUUCUAAUUCUAGGAUAAUAUUUGUGAAUAAAUUUGUUCCACAUUUGAUUGUUCGAUGCAAUCCUUGUAUGGUUUGUCCAUUUGUUAAACAAAGAAAAUUACAUUUCCCUAAUAAUGUUCAUCUAUUUGCUGCUCCUUUUGAUCUUGUGCAUUAUGAUAUUUGGAGACCAUGUUCUGUUCCUACUGUUGACGGUUAUAGAUAUUUUUUUACUAUUGUUGAUGAUUCAACUCAUGCCACAUGGCUUUGCCUUCUUAAGCAUAAAUAUGAGGUUUCACAUGUUUUUAAAGUUUUUUUUUUUUUUAAGUUGAUUAAAACAUAAUUUCAUCUAAAAAAAAAAAAAUUCGUACUGAUCAUGGUGCAUAAUUUUCUUUUUCUCAGUUUCUUCAUUUCAAAGGUAUUAUACAUCAACAUAGUUGUAUUGAAACUCCACACAUAAUUCUGUAGUGGAGAGAAAACAUUAGCACAUACUUAAUAUAGCUAGAUCAAUGAUGAUUCAGUCUCAUUUACCUAUUAAUUUUUGGGGUGAUGCUAUUUUAACAAUCCCCUGCAUUAUUAAUAGGUUACCUACUCCUCUUCUAAAUCACAAACUCAUUUUGCCUCCACUUUGCAAAGAUCUCACACCAAAUUUGAUCCUAAAGCUCGUACUUGUAUUUUUCUUGGAUAUCCUUUUGGGAUCAAAGGAUACAAAUUUCUUGGUAUUAAAAAAAUUCAAUGUUUUAUAUCAAGACAUGUUGUUUUUCAUGAGCACAUUUUUCCUUUUUCAUCUAAAACUUCUUCUCAUUUUUUGUCUCUUCCAUCUAUUGUUUUUCCUUGUCAAUCUUUAACUUUAGAUCUACUGCCUAUGCCUUCAACAGUGUCCUCUUCAAAUGAUUCACCUACUGAUUCUCCAUCUUCUCCUUCCCCUAUUCAAACACAUGCUCCUGCCACUCAACCUACUAUCUCACCAGUCACUUCUAAAAUUCCUAGAAGAUCCACUAGAUUCAAAAGAGUCCUGGUUACUUGCAGAUUUUCACUAUAAUUCUUCUUCUUCUGCACACUCCACAUCAUCAGAUCUUUCAACAAGUUCUUCUUCAUCAGGUUCUUCUUCAUUUCUUUCUUUACAUCCUAAAUAUGAUAUAUUCAAUUUCCUUUAUUAUGCUCAUAUUUUUCCUCCAUAUAAAUCUUUUUUUCAUGUCCAUCACUGGUGAAUUGCACCUGAGUCUAUCAUCAAGCUGUCAAGCACUCUCAUUGGAGAGAUGCCAUGUCAACUGAGAUUGCAGCCUUGGAACACACUAACACGUGGACUGUUACUUCCUUACCUCUUGACAAGAAACCUAUAGGUUGCAAAUGAGUCUAUAAAAUUAAGUAUCGUGUUGAUGGCUCCAUAGAGUGUUACAAGUCAGGCUGCAAUACAUAUUGCUUCCAACCCGAUUUUUCAUGAAAGAACAAAGCACACUGAACUGGAUUGCCACUUCAUUCGGGACACGAUUCAGGCUGGCAUUAUCAAGACCUUUCACUUGGCUUCACAUCAUAAACUUGCUGAUGAGUUGGAUAAACCUCUUGGUCAUCAAAAAUUUCAUCACUUAAUAACCAAGAUGGGAGUUCAUUCCUUCUACCCUUCAUCUUGAAAGGGGUAUCAUGAAUUGUUUUUAAAUACACAUGUCUCUAUUUUGUACAUACUAUAAAUACUGUUUUUUAUUUUAUUUUUGUAACUCACUUACAAGACUUCACUUUUAAUAAAUUGAGGUUUAUUUUUCCCCAA